UACGUAGGUCCCGAGCGUUGUCCGGAUUUAUUGGGCGUAAAGCGAGCGCAGGUGGUUUAUUAAGUCUGGUGUAAAAGGCAGUGGUUCAACCAUUGUAUGCAUUGGAAACUGGUAGACUUGAGUGCAGGAGAGGAGAGUGGAAUUCCAUGUGUAGCGGUGAAAUGCGUAGAUAUAUGGAGGAACACCGGUGGCGAAAGCGGCUCUCUGGCCUGUAACUGACACUGAGGCUCGAAAGCGUGGGGAGCAAACAGG
This 252-nucleotide ribosomal RNA is filed under the name uncultured bacterium. Its description in RNAcentral is "partial 16S ribosomal RNA". It matches the Rfam family "Bacterial small subunit ribosomal RNA", at positions 524 to 776 of the family's 1533-position model. The record is from RNAcentral.